Molecule: ribosomal RNA, 612 nt
Filed under: uncultured bacterium
Lineage: Bacteria
Description: bacterial SSU rRNA
Rfam family: Bacterial small subunit ribosomal RNA
Source: RNAcentral
CCUACGGGAGGCAGCAGUAAGGAAUAUUGGUCAAUGGACGAAAGUCUGAACCAGCCAUGCCGCGUGAAGGAUGAAGGUCCUCUGGAUUGUAAACUUCUUUUAUCUGGGACGAAAAAAGGGCUUUCUAGCUCACUUGACGGUACCAGAGGAAUAAGCACCGGCUAACUCCGUGCCAGCAGCCGCGGUAAUACGGAGGGUGCAAGCGUUAUCCGGAUUUACUGGGUUUAAAGGGAGCGUAGGUGGGCAGGUAAGUCAGUGGUGAAAUCUCUGGGCUUAACCCGGAAACUGCCAUUGAUACUAUCUGUCUUGAAUAUCCUGGAGGUAAGCGGAAUAUGUCAUGUAGCGGUGAAAUGCUUAGAUAUGACAUAGAACACCCAUUGCGAAGGCAGCUUACUACGGGAUUAUUGACACUGAGGCUCGAAAGCGUGGGGAUCAAACAGGAUUAGAUACCCUGGUAGUCCACGCCCUAAACGAUGGAUACUCGACAUCAGCGAUACACUGUUGGUGUCUGAGCGAAAGCAUUAAGUAUCCCACCUGGGAAGUACGACCGCAAGGUUGAAACUCAAAUGAAAUUGAGGCUGAGACGNGCGACGACGACGACGAGGGAGGAGG